RNAcentral lists this ribosomal RNA (233 nucleotides) under uncultured bacterium. Its description in RNAcentral is "partial 16S ribosomal RNA". It matches the Rfam family "Bacterial small subunit ribosomal RNA", at positions 15 to 244 of the family's 1533-position model. The record is from RNAcentral.
GAUCAUGGCUCAGGAUGAACGCUAGCUACAGGCUUAACACAUGCAAGUCGAGGGGCAGCAUAUUUCUAGCAAUAGAGAUGAUGGCGACCGGCGCACGGGUGAGUAAUACAUCGGAACGUGUCCUGUUGUGGGGGACAACCGGUCGAAAGACCGGCUAAUACCGCAUAAGACCUGAGGGUGAAAGCGGGGGAUCGCAAGACCUCGCGCAAUUGGAGCGGCCGAUGCCCGAUUAG